Long non-coding RNA from Episyrphus balteatus (marmalade hoverfly), 1554 nucleotides. RefSeq lists it as uncharacterized. The record is from RefSeq and is a predicted model, not a curated record. NCBI's taxonomy places the organism in Eukaryota, Metazoa, Arthropoda, Insecta, Diptera, Syrphidae. The transcript has 3 exons.
UUUUUAUAGUUGGUGUGAUGGAGGAUGCUGGGCAUAGAUGGAUGUUGGUUUGAGAUAGCUGAGAAUGGUAGAAGUUGUAGCGGGAUUUACUUUCAAAUAAUGAUAAAUAAACAUUUAAUUGAGACAGUGGUUGUUGUUUACUGCAUCUGGUUUGACAUUUGACUUUACUAUUUGUGCCACAGAUAACAUAACGAUAAGGAUGCUCAACUUCAUAUUGUAUAAUUCAUCCGAAUGAAUUGUGGGUGGUAGUUUCUGUUCUAUGGUAGAUAUAAGAAGCUUAAAUUGAAAAGAAUCUCCACAAAUAUAAGUAUGAGUAGGGGAAUUCCACACACACACAUUGAUUACCGAAAAGAACAACUAGAUAGCGGAUAUUAGAUCGGAUGAUGCUUAGCGUGUGUGAGGAAGAAUGGAAAAAUAAAUGAGAGUCAUGGUGGGGGUGGAUAACUUGGUUAUCUCCUUUGUCGAGGAGAAUUGAAAUGUCAUUUGACAAGUGAAAACCAAAGGUGACCGUUCAGGUUACAACAUCGAGGAAUAACCAUGUUCCUGAUGUAGAAAAAUAAAAAGAGAUUUAAAGAUUUGAUCUUUGUUGCGUUUUUUUUGUGAAGUUCAGACAGAGGGAAGGAUUUUCAAAUAAAUGAUGGAUUAAAUACUGGAAUAUCCCAAUUCUCAAUGACUGUGAAAGGCGGUCCCGGUUACCUGUGAAGUACUGGGACCGCCACACCGUUAAACAUCAUGCUGGAAAAGCCCACCAAUGUUUCAGCCACAGAUCCAAGAAAAUUUUCAAUAAAUGUCAGAAUAAGGGGAUAACACGUUAUUGAUUCGAUUAUGGUGAAGCCCAAAAGAAACGAAAUCCCGACCUGCCUUAAAGAACCCCAACUAUGAAGAGUUGAACGCGAGCUAUCAGGGUGUCUUAGUAAAAGGCAUUGAAAGUAUUCUGUAAGCCAGACGGCGGUGUGUGGCAAAAAUUAAUCCAGUGUAUAAGAAACAAAAGUAAUCUAACUAGUAACGAAGACAAAUCUGCGUUUAUAUAUAAAUAUAUAUAUAAAUACCUACGUAAAUUAAGAAACAAAAUUUUGAAGAUACUAUUUAUGUUAAAAAUUGUUAAAUGUGUGUUUUGUCCAUUAUAACGGCAUUGAAGUUUACUUUUGCUAAAAUGUUGUUUAAUUUUUUUUUUCUUCCCUUUAAAUAUAUCUAAAUUUUGAAUUAAUGAUUUCUGUAAGUGAUAUAGGUUGUUUCCUCCGUGUUCUAGUCGCGUUCCAAUCGGUUAUUUUUGUUACUACUCUGAUAACUAUCCACCUCCAACGAGCUCGAUGCAGGUAGGGACUACGAGUUAGCGCUUUCCUUUAUAAUUUGAUUAAGCAUCAAAAAGGGUGUUACACUUUAUUUCUUUUGCCCGGUGGGAAACUGACCAAGGUCACAUUGCUUUUGAUUUGAUUUUUUUUGUUGGUUAAUUUUAAUUUCCAAAAUACAUUACCUGUAAAAUGUUCAUGUAAUAUUCUUAUUUAAAGUUAUUGAAUAAAAACAACUUCAAACGCCGAAUAAUUUAAAUGAAAA